This 441-nucleotide ribosomal RNA is filed under the name uncultured bacterium. Its description in RNAcentral is "bacterial SSU rRNA". It matches the Rfam family "Bacterial small subunit ribosomal RNA", at positions 47 to 503 of the family's 1533-position model. The record is from RNAcentral.
CCUAACACAUGCAAGUCGAACGGAGAUAAUUGAGUUUACUUAAUUAUCUUAGUGGCGGACGGGUGAGUAACACGUGAGCAACCUGCCUCUGAGAGAGGGAUAGCUUCUGGAAACGGAUGGUAAUACCUCAUAACAUAUGCUUAAGGCAUCUUAGGCAUAUCAAAGAUUUAUCACUCAGAGAUGGGCUCGCGUCUGAUUAGCUAGAUGGUGAGGUAACGGCUCACCAUGGCGACGAUCAGUAGCCGGACUGAGAGGUUGAACGGCCACAUUGGGACUGAGACACGGCCCAGACUCCUACGGGAGGCAGCAGUGGGGAAUAUUGCACAAUGGGGGAAACCCUGAUGCAGCGAUGCCGCGUGGAGGAAGAAGGUUUUCGGAUUGUAAACUCCUGUCUUAAAGGACGAUAAUGACGGUACUUUAGGAGGAAGCUCCGGCUAACUA